RNAcentral lists this ribosomal RNA (314 nucleotides) under uncultured bacterium. RNAcentral's name for it is "partial 16S ribosomal RNA". It matches the Rfam family "Bacterial small subunit ribosomal RNA", at positions 355 to 661 of the family's 1533-position model. The record is from RNAcentral.
UAGGGAAUCUUCCACAAUGGACGCAAGUCUGAUGGAGCAACGCCGCGUGAGUGAAGAAGGCUUUCGGGUCGUAAAACUCUGUUAUUGAAGAAGAACGUGUGUGACAGUAACUGGUCAUGCAGUGACGGUAUUCAAUCAGAAAGUCACGGCUAACUACGUGCCAGCAGCCGCGGUAAUACGUAGGUGGCAAGCGUUGUCCGGAUUUAUUGGGCGUAAAGCGAGUGCAGGCGGUCUUUUAAGUCUGAUGUGAAAGCCUUCGGCUUAACCGAAGAAGGGCAUCGGAAACUGGGAGACUUGAGUGCAGAAGAGGAGAG